CCUACGGGGAGCAGCAGUCGAGAAUCAUUCACAAUGGGGGAAACCCUGAUGGUGCGACGCCGCGUGGGGGAAUGAAGGUCUUCGGAUUGUAAACCCCUGUCAUGUGGGAGCAAAUUAAAAAGAUAGUACCACAAGAGGAAGAGACGGCUAACUCUGUGCCAGCAGCCGCGGUAAUACAGAGGUCUCAAGCGUUGUUCGGAAUCACUGGGCGUAAAGCGUGCGUAGGCUGCUUCGUAAGUCGUGUGUGAAAGGCGCGGGCUCAACCCGCGGACGGCACAUGAUACUGCGAGACUAGAGUAAUGGAGGGGGAACCGGAAUUCUCGGUGUAGCAGUGAAAUGCGGAGAUAUCGAGAGGAACACUCGUGGCGAAGGCGGGUUCCUGGACAUUAACUGACGCUGAGGCACGAAGGCCAGGGGAGCGAAAGGGAUUAGAUACCCCUGUAGUC
Molecule: ribosomal RNA, 446 nt
Filed under: uncultured bacterium
Lineage: Bacteria
Description: partial 16S ribosomal RNA
Rfam family: Bacterial small subunit ribosomal RNA
Source: RNAcentral